UGGGGAAUUUUGCACAAUGGGGGAAACCCUGAUGCAGCGACGCCGCGUGAUUUAGAAGGCCUUCGGGUUGUAAAAAUCUUUUUUAUGGGAUGAAAAUGACAGUACCAUAAGAAUAAGGUCCGGCUAAAUACGUGCCAGCAGCCGCGGUAAUACGUAUGGACCGAGCGUUGUCCGGAAUCAUUGGGCGUAAAGGGUACGUAGGCGGCCCAGUAAGUUAGAAGUGAAAUAAUAUAGCUCAACUAUAUAAAGCUUUUAAAACUGCUAGGCUUGAGGGAUGGAAGGGAAAGUGGAAUUCCUAGUGUAGCGGUGAAAUGCGCAGAUAUUAGGAGGAAUACCGGUGGCGAAGGCGACUUUCUGGCCAUAACCUGACGCUGAGGUACGAAAGCGUGGGUAGCAAACAGG
This 402-nucleotide ribosomal RNA is filed under the name Bacteroidota bacterium. Its description in RNAcentral is "Bacteroidetes bacterium partial 16S ribosomal RNA". It matches the Rfam family "Bacterial small subunit ribosomal RNA", at positions 355 to 776 of the family's 1533-position model. Lineage: Bacteria; Pseudomonadati; Bacteroidota. The record is from RNAcentral.